GAUGAAGAACGUAGUGAAAUGCGAUAAGUAAUGUGAAUUGCAGAAUUCAGUGAAUCAUCGAAUCUUUGAACGCACAUUGCGCCCGCCAGUAUUCUGGCGGGCAUGCCUGUUCGAGCGUCAUUUCAACCAUCAAGCCCCAGGCUUGUGUUGGGGACCUGCGGCUGCCGCAGGCCCUGAAAACCAGUGGCGGGCUCGCUGUCACACCGGGCGUAGUAGAUUUUAUCUCGCUCUGGGCGUGCUGCGGGUUCCGACCGUUAAAAAACCCUUUUAACCCAAGGUUGACCUCGGAUCAGGUAGGAAUACCCGCUGAACUUAAGCAUAUCAAUAAGCGGAGGA
This 336-nucleotide unclassified non-coding RNA is filed under the name soil metagenome. RNAcentral's name for it is "partial contains 5.8S ribosomal RNA, internal transcribed spacer 2, and large subunit ribosomal RNA". The stretch from base 1 to 120 matches the Rfam family "5.8S ribosomal RNA", at positions 35 to 154 of the family's 154-position model. The record is from RNAcentral.